AAAUCGUUUGUGAUUGAUUAUUAUAGAAAACAUAUGAAGGGAUAAUAUUUAUGACCACAAUCUCAACAACUACAUCAAAAACAUAAUCAAAUCGUUAUGAUUACAACACAAAAAGCUUGACAAACUUGAAGAUUGGGCAUCAACAAGAACAUCCAUCUAAGAACGUGGUGGACAACUAUUUAAGUGUUGACAUUCGGGGGUUGUGGACCAUUUUGAUAAAUUAGAUUUGCUUGAUGAGAA
RNAcentral lists this unclassified non-coding RNA (240 nucleotides) under Hevea brasiliensis (rubber tree). The record is from RNAcentral. Lineage: Eukaryota; Viridiplantae; Streptophyta; Magnoliopsida; Malpighiales; Euphorbiaceae.